This 342-nucleotide long non-coding RNA is filed under the name Homo sapiens (human). Its description in RNAcentral is "HSALNT0211726". The record is from RNAcentral. Lineage: Eukaryota; Metazoa; Chordata; Mammalia; Primates; Hominidae.
UGGUUCCCGCAAAGAAGGGUGGCGAGAAGAAAACGGGCCGUUGCCAUCAACGAAGUGGUAACCCGAGAAUAUACCAUCAACAUUCACAAGCGCAUCCAUGGAGUGGGCUUCAAGAAACGUGCACCUUGGGCACUCAAAGAGAUUCGGAAAUUUGCCAUGAAGGAGAUGGGAACUCCAGAUGUGCGCAUUGACACCAGGCUCAACAAAGCUGUCCAGAAAACGUAAUGAGGAUGAAGAUUCACCAAAUAAGCUAUAUACUUUGGUUACCUAUGUAACUGUUACCACUUUCAAAAAUCUACAGACAGUCAAUGUGGAUGAGAACUAAUCCCUGAUCGUCAGAUA